AUUGAUCAUGUCAUGAUAUGCAUAUGUGAUCCAUGAGUUCUUCAUGUAGAUUUAGAUCUUAUGCGUGACCUCUCAUUCGCUUUUUUUAAAAAUAUUUGCGUUUUGCAUUUGGGUUUUGUUUGGUUUUAGUAUUGGUUUGAGUAUAUCAUUCAAGAUUUUAUUAUUUAUUUUUUAUGUGAUUUCUACUGACUUUACUUUUACUGAUGCUGUUUUACUUGGAUUAAUCACUGUUGCAAAACACUGACUGAUCUAGUAUUUCUUUUGAUUCAUUUUUUGGGUUUCUUUGUUAAAUUUAUUUUAAAAAUGGCAAAUUUUAAGUUUCUUAGGUGUUUUAAGUUGUGGAAUGGCUUAUUUGCUGUUCUUGCUCAUUUGCUGUUCUUGCUCUUUUGUUGUUUUUCAAUCAUUUUGAGUAAAGAUUUGAUCUUGAGUAAAGUUUUACUAAGUACAUAAGAAAUGCUAACUG
This 463-nucleotide unclassified non-coding RNA is filed under the name Hevea brasiliensis (rubber tree). The record is from RNAcentral. Lineage: Eukaryota; Viridiplantae; Streptophyta; Magnoliopsida; Malpighiales; Euphorbiaceae.